CGGUGGCUAUAGCGGAGGGGAAACACCCGUUCCCAUCCCGAACACGGAAGUUAAGCCCUCCAGCGCCGAUGGUACUUGGGGGCCGACCCCUGGGAGAGUAGGUCGCCGCCG
This 111-nucleotide ribosomal RNA is filed under the name marine eukaryotic metagenome. The record is from RNAcentral.